CAAAAAGCAGCCCGUAAGGGUGAGGUGGUUCGCCUUCAACUUAAAUGCUAGUCUAUUAUAAGGCUACAUUCCCAAAUUGCGGGAACACCCUAAUGCUCUCACUUCCAAGCUGACAUUUGAAAGAAUGCAGUGGCCAGGCUAAUCACCUGGGUAUGGACAUAACGUCGAGAGAUGAUACAAUGGGCUAUCCGCAUCCUUUCCCUUCAUACGCAUAGUAUAUGGAAAAGGUUCAGAGACUAAAUGGGAAUGGCUAGUUUAUUAAAUUCAACGUUUUAGAUGCGUACUGAAGUUAAUGAUACUAGUUAAGAUAUAGUCCGUCGGUAGGCGAAAACUUACGGUUCAAAGCUUGAAGCUUGACCCUUGGAAGCAACUCAAUGCUUUCGAGUGAAUAUAAAACGGGAGCCUGCGGCUUAAUUUGACUCAACACGGGGAAACUCACCAGGUCCAGA
RNAcentral lists this ribosomal RNA (449 nucleotides) under uncultured fungal clone AL 15. RNAcentral's name for it is "partial small subunit ribosomal RNA". The stretch from base 12 to 338 matches the Rfam family "Group I catalytic intron". Rfam says of the family: Group I catalytic introns are large self-splicing ribozymes. They catalyse their own excision from mRNA, tRNA and rRNA precursors in a wide range of organisms. Lineage: Eukaryota; Fungi. The record is from RNAcentral.